AUUUAGAACCAAUGGGAGACUGUCAAUGGUUGAAACCCAGUAAGAAAGAUCUAUUUUAUAGUGUCUGGACUGCAAGAAACAUCAAGGACUUCCCAGACUCAACCACUAUGACUUCAGUACUUUGAGCUCUGUGCUGCUGAAUUAAGUAACCUCUGAUAUUGGAGACUUUCCCAAGUCAUUCAAGGUGACUGAAAUUUCCAGACUGGAAAACGUAACUGCAGCAAAGGGCAGACCCUGCUGUAAAGGAUCGCUGUGAAAGCAGAAAAAGAGGGGGCUACACGAGCCUGUCAGUGAUUAAAAAACCUUCAGGAGGACAGGAGCACGUUGAUGAGAAGUCAUGUUCUGGGGAUUAAGGAUGGCGACUCAGAGGAAAGAACUACUUUAAAGAGACGGUUGUCGAACUCUUGGAAUUAAACUUAAAAUACAUGUUGAUGCAAAAUGAAAAGGUCUUGCGGAGUAUCCUUCCCAAGUUGCAGGAACCAGCGUGGAUGUCAAGGGACACGACAGUUCCCCUGCUGUACCAUGGGCGACCUAGUUGUGAUGUGGACAUGAACCUCCGCCAUGUAGCAGACACCCUCCCUCAGGUCUUGCGGAGUAUCCUUCCCAAGUUGCGUGGAUGUGAAGGGACAUGACACUUCCCCUGCUGUACCAUGGGCGACCUACUUGUGAUGUGGACCUGAACCUCCGCCAUGUAGCAGACACCCC
Molecule: long non-coding RNA, 705 nt
Organism: Pseudophryne corroboree (corroboree frog)
Lineage: Eukaryota; Metazoa; Chordata; Amphibia; Anura; Myobatrachidae
Exons: 4
Source: RefSeq, a predicted model, not a curated record